AGAGUUUGAUCCUGGGUCAGGACGAACGCUGGCGGCGUGCUUAACACAUGCAAGUCGAACGAUGAAGCAGGGCUUGCUCUGCCGAUUAGUGGCGAACGGGUGAGGAACACGUGAGAAACCUGCCCCAGACUCUGGGAUAACAAUUAGAAAUGAUUGCUAAUACCGGAUGACGUCGGAGAACCGCAUGGUUCACUGACGAAAGGAAAUCCGGUUUGGGAGGGUCUCGCGACCUAUCAGCUUGUUGGCGGGGUAAUGGCCCACCAAGGCAUCGACGGGUAGCUGGUCUGAGAGGAUGAUCAGCCACACUGGGACUGAGACACGGCCCAGACUCCUACGGGAGGCAGCAGUGGGGAAUCUUGCGCAAUGGGCGAAAGCCUGACGCAGCAACGCCGCGUGCGGGAUGAAGGCCUUCGGGCUGUAAACCGCUUUCAGCAGGAACGAAAAUGACGGUACCUGCAGAAGAAGGAGCGGCCAACUACGUGCCAGCAGCCGCGGUGACACGUAGGCUCCAAGCGUUGUCCGGAUUUAUUGGGCGUAAAGAGCUCGUAGGCGGUUUAGUAAGUCGGGUGUGAAAACUCUGGGCUUAACCCAGAGACGCCAUCCGAUACUGCUGUGACUUGAGUUCAGGAGGGGAGCGGGGAAUUCCUAGUGUAGCGGUGAAAUGCGCAGAUAUUAGGAGGAACACCGGUGGCGAAGGCGCCGCUCUGGACUGAAACUGACGCUGAGGAGCGAAAGCAUGGGUAGCAAACAGGAUUAGAUACCCUGGUAGUCC
This 772-nucleotide ribosomal RNA is filed under the name uncultured bacterium. RNAcentral describes it as "bacterial SSU rRNA". It matches the Rfam family "Bacterial small subunit ribosomal RNA", at positions 8 to 796 of the family's 1533-position model. The record is from RNAcentral.